This 230-nucleotide long non-coding RNA is filed under the name Elaeis guineensis (African oil palm). RNAcentral's name for it is "long non-coding RNA (EGUI_LNC067353)". The record is from RNAcentral. Lineage: Eukaryota; Viridiplantae; Streptophyta; Magnoliopsida; Arecales; Arecaceae.
AUGAGAUAUGGGGCAGAAUAUUUCAAAAAAAAUAUAUCUUAUGAUAUUUUAGAUCUAAGAUCCAUUAGAUUUAAUUUUUAUUAUCUGAUAUUAAAUCUAAAAUUAAAUCUAAAAUCAUAAGGAAUAGAGAAAUACCUCUAGGGUAACUAGAUUACCCUGUAGAUGAUCGCAGCAGUGCCCAGGAUUCUAAAAUAGCCAUGCAGUCGGCUGGCCUCUAUCAAUAUCCACUC